GGCCAGGCGGAGCUACCAUGCAGUCGAGCGGUAACAGAUCCAGCUUGCUGGAUGCUGACGAGCGGCGGACGGGUGAGUAAUGCAUAGGAAUCUGCCCGAUAGUGGGGGAUAACCUGGGGAAACCCAGGCUAAUACCGCAUACGUCCUACGGGAGAAAGGGGGCUUCGGCUCCCGCUAUCGGAUGAGCCUAUGUCGGAUUAGCUAGUUGGUGAGGUAACGGCUCACCAAGGCCACGAUCCGUAGCUGGUCUGAGAGGAUGAUCAGCCACAUCGGGACUGAGACACGGCCCGAACUCCUACGGGAGGCAGCAGUGGGGAAUAUUGGACAAUGGGGGGAACCCUGAUCCAGCCAUGCCGCGUGUGUGAAGAAGGCCCUCGGGUUGUAAAGCACUUUCAGCGAGGAAGAACGCCUAGCGGUUAAUACCCGCUAGGAAAGACAUCACUCGCAGAAGAAGCACCGGCUAACUCCGUGCCAGCAGCCGCGGUAAUACGGAGGGUGCAAGCGUUAAUCGGAAUUACUGGGCGUAAAGCGCGCGUAGGUGGCUUGAUAAGCCGGUUGUGAAAGCCCCGGGCUCAACCUGGGAACGGCAUCCGGAACUGUCAAGCUAGAGUGCAGGAGAGGAAGGUAGAAUUCCCGGUGUAGCGGUGAAAUGCGUAGAGAUCGGGAGGAAUACCAGUGGCGAAGGCGGCCUUCUGGACUGACACUGACACUGAGGUGCGAAAGCGUGGGUAGCAAACAGGAUUAGAUACC
RNAcentral lists this ribosomal RNA (750 nucleotides) under Halomonas sp. RNAcentral describes it as "bacterial SSU rRNA". It matches the Rfam family "Bacterial small subunit ribosomal RNA", at positions 38 to 786 of the family's 1533-position model. The record is from RNAcentral. Lineage: Bacteria; Pseudomonadati; Pseudomonadota; Gammaproteobacteria; Oceanospirillales; Halomonadaceae.